GAUGAAGAACGUAGCGAAAUGCGAUAAGUAAUGUGAAUUGCAGAAUUCAGUGAAUCAUCGAAUCUUUGAACGCACAUUGCGCCCGCCAGUAUUCUGGCGGGCAUGCCUGUUCGAGCGUCAUUUCAACCAUCAAGCCCCCCGGCUUGUGUUGGGGACCUGCGGCUGCCGCAGGCCCUGAAAAGCAGUGGCGGGCUCGCUGUCACACCGAGCGUAGUAGAUCUCAUCUCGCUCAGGGCGUGCUGCGGGUUCCGGCCGUUAAACCACCUUCAUAACCCAAGGUUGACCUCGGAUCAGGUAGGAAGACCCGCUGAACUUAAGCAUAUCAAUAAGGAGGA
RNAcentral lists this unclassified non-coding RNA (335 nucleotides) under soil metagenome. Its description in RNAcentral is "partial contains 5.8S ribosomal RNA, internal transcribed spacer 2, and large subunit ribosomal RNA". The stretch from base 1 to 120 matches the Rfam family "5.8S ribosomal RNA", at positions 35 to 154 of the family's 154-position model. The record is from RNAcentral.